CCUACGGGAGGCAGCAGUGGGGAAUAUUGCACAAUGGGGGAAACCCUGAUGCAGCGACGCCGCGGGAGUGAAGCAGUAUUUCGGUAUGUAAAGCUCUAUCAGUAGGGAAGAAAAUGACGGUACCUGAUUAAGAAGCACCGGCUAACUACGUGCCAGCAGCCGCGGUAAUACGUAGGGGGCAAGUGUUAUCCGGAUUUACUGGAGGUAAAGGGAGCGUAGACGGCAGCACAAGUCUGGAGUGAAAUGCCGGGACUUAACCCCGGAACUGCUUUGGAAACUGUGCAGCUAGAGUGCAGGAGAGGUAAGUGGAAUUCCUAGUGUAGCGGUGAAAUGCGUAGAUAUUAGGAGGAACACCAGUGGCGAAGGCGGCUUACUGGACUGUAACUGACGUUGAGGCUCGAAAGCGUGGGGAGCAAACAGGAUUAGAUACCCCUGUAGUC
RNAcentral lists this ribosomal RNA (440 nucleotides) under uncultured bacterium. Its description in RNAcentral is "partial 16S ribosomal RNA". It matches the Rfam family "Bacterial small subunit ribosomal RNA", at positions 338 to 795 of the family's 1533-position model. The record is from RNAcentral.